UGAAUGUGAGAGGUUUACGAGAGAGAGUAAAGAGAUAUGCUAUCCUUGAGUGGAUGAAGAGGUUCCUGCCAGCCAUCAUCUGCCUCCAAGAGACACACCUGGAUAAGGAAUCUCUAAGGUGGUUGGAGAAGAGAUGGAUAGUGGAUGGGUACCACUCCGUAUAUACCACUUAUUCUAGAGGGGUCUCAAUUUUGAUACACAAUAAGAUUAAAUUUGAGUUUUUGGCAGUGUAGG
Molecule: long non-coding RNA, 234 nt
Organism: Bufo bufo (common toad)
Lineage: Eukaryota; Metazoa; Chordata; Amphibia; Anura; Bufonidae
Exons: 3
Source: RefSeq, a predicted model, not a curated record